CAAGAAGUAGCUUAAACCACCUUAAAGUAUUCAACUUACACUUGAACGAUGUCCCCAAAGACCUUCUUGA
RNAcentral lists this transfer RNA (70 nucleotides) under Gekko hokouensis. Its description in RNAcentral is "tRNA-Val". RNAcentral also lists the same sequence under 1 other name. Lineage: Eukaryota; Metazoa; Chordata; Lepidosauria; Squamata; Gekkonidae. The record is from RNAcentral.